Non-coding RNA from Chionomys nivalis (European snow vole), 520 nucleotides. NCBI's taxonomy places the organism in Eukaryota, Metazoa, Chordata, Mammalia, Rodentia, Cricetidae. The record is from the annotation of a RefSeq genome assembly.
CCUUCUAAAAAUGAAGUUACCUGUUGUGUUAUUGGUACUGCUGUUGUUCUGGAUUCCUGUUUCCAGAGGUGAUGUUGUGAUGACCCAAACUCCGACAUCCUUGAUUGUCAGCCUUGGAGAACAAGUCUCCAUCUCUUGCAAGUCUAGUCAGAGCCUUGUACUAAGUAGUGGAAACACAUAUUUGGAAUGGUACCUGCAAAAGCCAGGUCAGUCUCCGCAGCUCUUGAUAUACAAGGUUUCCAACCGAUUUUCUGGAGUCUCAGACAGGUUCAGUGGCAGUGGGUCAGUCACAGAUUUCACACUCAAGAUCAGCAACGUGGAGCCUGAGGAUUUAGGAGUAUAUUACUGCUCACAAGCUUCUUAUUUUCCUCCCACAGUGAUUCAGACCCUAACAAAAACAUCCUUGCUUAAGGGUGGCCCAGCUGCCAAGUAUGUUACUUCUCUGUGUGAGAGAAGGGUGCUGAGGGCUCAGGAUUGUUGCUUGCAGCUGAGGACCUUGGAGCAUGAGCACCUGCCUUAG